GGAGGGGUGCCAGAGUGGACGAUUGGGCACGCCUGGAGAGCGUGUGUACCUCCGGGUACCGUGGGUUCGAAUCCCACCCCCUCCGCCA
This 88-nucleotide transfer RNA is filed under the name Pseudomonadota bacterium. Its description in RNAcentral is "tRNA-Ser". It matches the Rfam family "tRNA". Rfam says of the family: Transfer RNA (tRNA) molecules are approximately 80 nucleotides in length. Their secondary structure includes four short double-helical elements and three loops (D, anti-codon, and T loops). The record is from RNAcentral. Lineage: Bacteria; Pseudomonadati; Pseudomonadota. RNAcentral also lists the same sequence under 3 other names.